Molecule: non-coding RNA, 27 nt
Filed under: Mus musculus (house mouse)
Lineage: Eukaryota; Metazoa; Chordata; Mammalia; Rodentia; Muridae
Source: RNAcentral
GCAGAAGACAGGAAAUAGUCAAACUCA